UAGGGAAUAUUGGACAAUGGGGGCAACCCUGAUCCAGCCAUGCCGCGUGAGUGAAGAAGGCCCUCGGGUUGUAAAGCUCUUUUGUCCGGAAAGAAAAGCAUUCGGUGAAUACCCGGAUGUUCUGCCGGUACCGGAAGAAUAAGCACCGGCUAACUUCGUGCCAGCAGCCGCGGUAAUACGAAGGGUGCAAGCGUUACUCGGAAUUACUGGGCGUAAAGCGUGCGUAGGUGGUUGUUUAAGUCUGAUGUGAAAGCCCUGGGCUCAACCUGGGAAUGGCAUUGGAAACUGGGCAGCUAGAGUGCGGUAGAGGGUAGUGGAAUUCCCGGUGUAGCAGUGAAAUGCGUAGAGAUCGGGAGGAACAUCUGUGGCGAAGGCGACUGCCUGGACCAGCACUGACACUGAGGCACGAAAGCGUGGGGAGCAAACA
RNAcentral lists this ribosomal RNA (427 nucleotides) under uncultured bacterium. Its description in RNAcentral is "bacterial SSU rRNA". It matches the Rfam family "Bacterial small subunit ribosomal RNA", at positions 355 to 774 of the family's 1533-position model. The record is from RNAcentral.